Long non-coding RNA from Vigna unguiculata (cowpea), 760 nucleotides. The record is from RefSeq and is a predicted model, not a curated record. NCBI's taxonomy places the organism in Eukaryota, Viridiplantae, Streptophyta, Magnoliopsida, Fabales, Fabaceae.
CCAUAAUAUUCCACGGAAUUUUGUAUAACCAUGUUUCAGUCUCUUUUUCCAGAAAACUGUUGGUGAUUAUGAGGCCAUUAGGAGGAGAUAUUUUUUCCUAUCUCUUUCUUCAAUUUAUUUUUAAACUAAUAACAAGUUUAUAGGAGUUCGAUCCAAGCACAACAAUGUCUGUCUGCAUAGCGUGUCAGGCAUGAGACCAUUGUUGGUCCUGCUAUUGAUGAAUAGUGACUCAUGAGAGUAUGUUAUUUCUUCCUCAGGGAUUGAUUUCUGGAGAAUUAUUAACAAUUUGGUCAUUUUAAUUUUGUUUGCAUUAUGAUUUACAGAUAAAAUUGUCUCCAAAGGAACACUGAGUAAACACAGAGAUGAUGAGACAACACAAGAGUUGCGAGAGCGGAGAAAGAUGUUCCAGAUCCUAACAAAUCUUGGACUCCGGAUGAAUUAGAGAAAGGAGGUUGUCUCCUGAGGAAAUCUUAUCCCUUCAGAUGUUUAAGAACUAUACAGCUGGAAAUCCUGCUCCUGUGUUGUAUGUUAAGGAUUUGGCAAAAGAUGUGAUUGCUGAUGACUUCUAUUAUAUACUUGGGUCUUUGUUUGGAAGUGUUGGGGCUGCUAAGUCUGCUUUCCAAGUCAAGCUAAUGCAGUUUAUUAACAUAUCCGCUCAGGGUUACAUGGUUGAAGGUUGACUCAACUAACCUGCAUUAUAUAUUAGUGAAGAUCUUGUAGUAGCAUAUCUGUGAAACUGAAAUUGAUAGCUAGUUUUCAA